Molecule: ribosomal RNA, 254 nt
Filed under: uncultured bacterium
Lineage: Bacteria
Description: partial 16S ribosomal RNA
Rfam family: Bacterial small subunit ribosomal RNA
Source: RNAcentral
UACGAAGGGUGCUAGCGUUGUUCGGAAUCACUGGGCGUAAAGCGCGCGUAGGCGGCUUUUCAAGUCAGGGGUGAAAUCCUUGGGCUCAACCCAAGAACUGCCUUUGAAACUGUAAAGCUGGAGUGUCGGAGGGGAUAGCGGAAUUCCUAAUGUAGUGGUGAAAUACGUAGAUAUUAGGAGGAACACCGGUGGCGAAGGCGGCUAUCUGGACGACAACUGACGCUGAGGCGGCGAAAGCGUGGGGAGCGAACAGG